CCUGAACACAAACAAGAUGACCCGCUGGACUUAAGCAUAUUAUUAAGCGGAGGAAAAGAAAUUAACAAAGAUUCCCUUAGUAAGGGCGACUGAACCGGGAAAAGCUCAAAAUUGGAAUCAUUAGUUCAACGAACUUCUGAAUUGUAAUCAGGGCAGCCUAAAUACGUAAACAAGCUCAACAGGAUUGAAAACCUGGUCAAAGAGGGUGCUAACCCCGUACAGUUUGUUUGCGAACAAGGUUGUUUCCAAAAGAGUCGGGUUGCUUGGAACUGCAGCCCUAAGUGGGAGAUAUGAUUCUUCCAAAGCUAAAUAUAGAUGGGAAACCGAUAGCGAACAAGUACUGUGAAGGAAAGAUGAAAAGGACUUUGAAAAGAGAGUGAAAAGAUCUGAAAUCGUUGAGAAGGAAGCGGUAAAACUGACGAACGUACUGAAAGACUAAUGAGGUAAUAACUCAGAGGUCUUACCAGAACGCUGGGCAAAAUCAAGUUCUACAUGUCAAAAAAGGUGUAAGCCGGACAGGGCGUGAAGGGCUUGAGGGACUACGGUGAUUUUGCCAAAAUGGUUUUUACCGUCCCGUCUUGUAACACGGACCAAGGAGUCUAU
This 603-nucleotide ribosomal RNA is filed under the name Litonotus pictus. Its description in RNAcentral is "partial Eukaryotic large subunit ribosomal RNA". It matches the Rfam family "Eukaryotic large subunit ribosomal RNA", at positions 1 to 678 of the family's 3401-position model. The record is from RNAcentral. Lineage: Eukaryota; Ciliophora; Litostomatea; Pleurostomatida; Litonotidae.